UGUUGCAUCGAACCGUCGAACAACCCCUGUCUUCCUCUGUGCGUUCCUCCUCCACAUCAUCGGUCAGAACCCUCUCUUCCGUCGAAACCAUCACCCGUCGUUGCCUCCACUCGCACAGCACCGCCGGACAUCAUCGUGCUUGACAGUGAAGGAUGCAAGCUGUGAAAGUUUUCUUUUUGCGAGCCACAUGUCCAAGUCGUGUUAGUUCGAGUCGUAUUCCUUCACCGAGCCUCGUGAGUCAUCUCUGUGGAUCCGAGCCGUUUCGUGUAAGCCAUACGCGAGCCACGCGCAACUGAGCCAUUCCUGUGUGAGUCGUAUGCCAGCCGUGAGUCUCAAGACUCGAGCUGAAGCGUUGUUAGUCGAGCCACCUUCAGUUUUAGCCGUCUGCAACAUAUUUAAGCCCUUGGUGAGUUUUUGCUUAAUUCUCGUUGGGUUUGGUACACCCAAAUAAUUAUUGUUUUGGGUCUAAAAUGAGUUAGCACUGGAAUGAGUUGAAUUAUGUUGUUUGAGAUGGUCGUAUAAAUAGUUACUUUGAAAACCAUAUUAUGAUUUAGAUAUAGUAUUAUUUGUUGAGGCAUGCUAUAAUCAAAUAUGUUACUUUUGAGUUAUGUGUAAUUGAGCUAAGAUGUUGAUCUUAUGAUAAACAUGUAUAGGCUAUAGUGUUCUGUUAGUUUUGCCUAUUAGAGUUGUACCGUAUGGGGGUCCAUCAGGGUCACCACCUAUGUAUGCAUGUGUGACUUGGUUGAGAUGUGAUUCGAUGGGAUCACUUACAGUCUGACUCUCCUAUAGGAUGAUUCCUUCGGGUUCACCGAGAGCCUAGAUGUGUCCCUACGGAACCACUUGAUAGUAUGCGUUCGGGAGCGCAAUAGUAUGCGGUACCAUGCUACAGGACUCUAACGAAAGGUUAACAGACACAUAGUGAGACCACU
Molecule: long non-coding RNA, 929 nt
Filed under: Cucumis sativus (cucumber)
Lineage: Eukaryota; Viridiplantae; Streptophyta; Magnoliopsida; Cucurbitales; Cucurbitaceae
Description: long non-coding RNA (CSAT_LNC003032)
Source: RNAcentral